GAACCUAACACAUGCAAGUCGAGCGAGAAAAGGGUAGCAAUAUCCUGAGUACAGCGGCGCACGGGUGAGUAACGCGUGGGUAAUCUGCCCUGGAGUGGGGAAUAACACCGGGAAACCGGUGCUAAUACCGCAUACGAUCACGAUGUCUGCGGAUGUUGUGAUGAAAGGAGCAAUUCGCUCCAGGAGGAGCCCGCGGCUGAUUAGCUAGUUGGUGAGGUAAUGGCUCACCAAGGCUACGAUCAGUAUCCGGUCUGAGAGGACGGUCGGACACACUGGAACUGAGACACGGUCCAG
RNAcentral lists this ribosomal RNA (294 nucleotides) under uncultured bacterium. RNAcentral describes it as "partial 16S ribosomal RNA". It matches the Rfam family "Bacterial small subunit ribosomal RNA", at positions 47 to 334 of the family's 1533-position model. The record is from RNAcentral.